AGUCGUACGCACUGGCCCAACUGAUUGAUGGUGCUUGCACCUGAUUGUCGAUGGAUCACCAGUGAGUGGCGGACGGGUGAGUAACACGUAGGUAACCUGCCCCGGAGCGGGGGAUAACAUUUGGAAACAGAUGCUAAUACCGCAUAACAACGAAAGCCACAUGGCUUUUGUUUGAAAGAUGGCUUUGGCUAUCACUCUGGGAUGGACCUGCGGUGCAUUAGCUAGUUGGUAAGGUAACGGCUUACCAAGGCGAUGAUGCAUAGCCGAGUUGAGAGACUGAUCGGCCACAAUGGAACUGAGACACGGUCCAUACUCCUACGGGAGGCAGCAGUAGGGAAUCUUCCACAAUGGGCGCAAGCCUGAUGGAGCAACACCGCGUGAGUGAAGAAGGGUUUCGGCUCGUAAAGCUCUGUUGUUGGAGAAGAACGUGCGUGAGAGUAACUGUUCACGCAGUGACGGUAUCCAACCAGAAAGUCACGGCUAACUACGUGCCAGCAGCCGCGGUAAUACGUAGGUGGCAAGCGUUAUCCGGAUUUAUUGGGCGUAAAGCGAGCGCAGGCGGUUGCUUAGGUCUGAUGUGAAAGCCUUCGGCUUAACCGAAGAAGUGCAUCGGAAACCGGGCGACUUGAGUGCAGAAGAGGACAGUGGAACUCCAUGUGUAGCGGUGGAAUGCGUAGAUAUAUGGAAGAACACCAGUGGCGAAGGCGGCUGUCUGGUCUGCAACUGACGCUGAGGCUCGAAAGCAUGGGUAGCGAACAGGAUUAGAUACCCUGGUAGUCCAUGCCG
RNAcentral lists this ribosomal RNA (786 nucleotides) under uncultured bacterium. RNAcentral's name for it is "bacterial SSU rRNA". It matches the Rfam family "Bacterial small subunit ribosomal RNA", at positions 60 to 802 of the family's 1533-position model. The record is from RNAcentral.